Molecule: long non-coding RNA, 384 nt
Organism: Arabidopsis thaliana (thale cress)
Lineage: Eukaryota; Viridiplantae; Streptophyta; Magnoliopsida; Brassicales; Brassicaceae
Product: other RNA
Exons: 1
Source: RefSeq
CCUGCAGGUCCUGGUAUUAACAUGAGUGUAUAACUGUCCUCAAGAAAAUGAUCCAGCAAGGAGUAGAGGUGAAGCUUCUUAUAAUGAUUCAUGUUACUAUUAUAACAUGCCUUUGGAUUCUGUUGUUGCGCGGGCGGUUGCAGGGACCUCGAUGGAGAUUUGCGUUUGCAAAGAAUCACCAAGGUCAAAAGCUUCCCAUUGCUCUUCUUCUGCUUGGAAAUUCAUGUCUCUCUUAGAUUCAUCAGCACAUACCCUCCCUCUCGUUACCAAAUUUACACCAGAAACUCCACAAUCUCCUGUGAUUUAUGUCGUUUACAGUUCUUCCAGUGCCAAUCCAUAUAACAGAGGAAUAUCAAAAUCAUAGCAACUCACUUGGUCUGGGUU